AUUGAACGCUGGCGGCAGGCCUAACACAUGCAAGUCGAACGGUUGCAGAAAGCUGCUUCCUGCAUUCCUCGCCAGUGGCGUACGUGUUGGUAAUGACUGGGCAUCUUCCUGGUGGAGGGCGUCCACUACUGGGCGCUGUUGCCACUUCCGCCUUGCGUCGCAAAGCCAGAGAGGUUCGCAUUCGGCCCUCUCGCCUUCGCAUAUGCCCAGAUGGGAUUAGCUAGUAGGUGGGGUAAAGGCACACCUAGGCGACGAUCCCUAGCUGGUCUGAGAGGAUGAUCAGCCACACUGGAACUGAGACACGGUCCAGACUCCUACGGGAGGCAGCAGUGGGGAAUAUUGGACAAAGGGCGAAAGCCUGAUGCAGCCAUGCCGCGUGUAUGAAGAAGGUCUUCGGGUUGUAAAGUACUUUCAGCGGGGAGGAAGGGAGGAAAGUUAAUACCUUUGUGCAUUGACGUUACCAGCAGAAGAAGCACCGGCUAACUCCGUG
This 490-nucleotide ribosomal RNA is filed under the name uncultured bacterium. RNAcentral describes it as "partial 16S ribosomal RNA". It matches the Rfam family "Bacterial small subunit ribosomal RNA", at positions 30 to 507 of the family's 1533-position model. The record is from RNAcentral.